CAGGCCUAACACAUGCAAGUCGAACGAACCUUCGGGUUAGUGGCGGACGGGUGAGUAACGCGUGAGAAUCUGCCCUCAGGAGGGGGAUAACAGUUGGAAACGACUGCUAAUACCCCAUAUGCCGAGAGGUGAAAUGAAUUUCGCCUGAGGAUGAGCUCGCGUCUGAUUAGCUUGUUGGUGGGGUAACGGCCUACCAAGGCUUCGAUCAGUAGCUGGUCUGAGAGGACGAUCAGCCACACUGGGACUGAGACACGGCCCAGACUCCUACGGGAGGCAGCAGUGGGGAAUUUUCCGCAAUGGGCGAAAGCCUGACGGAGCAACGCCGCGUGAGGGAUGGAGGCCUUUGGGCUGUAAACCUCUUUUCUCAAGGAAGAAGACCUGACGGUACUUGAGGAAUAAGCCACGGCUAAUUCCGUGCCAGCAGCCGCGGUAAUACGGGAGUGGCAAGCGUUAUCCGGAAUUAUUGGGCGUAAAGCGUCCGCAGGCGGCCGUUUAAGUCUGUUGUUAAAUCGUGGAGCUCAACUCCAUCACGGCAAUGGAAACUGUUCGGCUUGAGUAUGG
This 561-nucleotide ribosomal RNA is filed under the name uncultured bacterium. RNAcentral's name for it is "bacterial SSU rRNA". It matches the Rfam family "Bacterial small subunit ribosomal RNA", at positions 43 to 651 of the family's 1533-position model. The record is from RNAcentral.